AACGGCCAAUUCUUCAUCUGAAAAUCAAUCAGAACAAUCUAACGCAUCACACACUCGAGUACAACCUCGACAAGCUUUCCAAAGUCACAAUAGGACAGCAACCACAUCAUCUGUUUCUCAACACUUGAACAAGCUGCCAGAACGCCUCAGCCUCAAAGAAAUCAAGAUCCUCCAAUUAUAGAGCAUGAAUUCACUGAAAUUAUUGGAGAAAGAAGGGAAAUCUCCAGAUAGACUUACUUUUUUCGACGUCACUCAUAAAACGAAGAUGGAACUUAUGUGGAUGACAAUAUUAAAAAACUAAUGGAUAAAGCAUCUGCUCUUCAAGCCGAACGUAGUCAAAAUUCGAACAAUAAUAUAACUGAAGUUAAUGAAAAAAUAUUUCAAAAAGUGAUGGGUAAAGAGCACAAUGGUCGUGUGAGGGGUUUAGGUUUGGGGCCAACACCUAGAAAUUAUUUUGGAGCAACAUCGUAUAAUGUGGCAGAAAAAUGGAAAUCUUCUACAAGUUCAAGUCAAUCAAAUGAAGUGGCAGCACUUAAAAAAACACUUCAAGAGAUGACAUCUAAGUAUGAAGAAGUAAGCAAAAAUUAUGAAGUUUUUAUGAAUUGAUCAUGAAGAUGUAUCUCAAACACUAUUUGCUUUGGCGAAUUUUGUAUCUGAAAAGUUCCCCGGACAACAUUGGAUGCCAUCACAAGUGAACAAAAAUCAGUUUAGUGAUCGGGGUAGUGGUGGGAAUGUGCAACAUGAUGUUUCAUCUCGUUCAAGUCAAGGUUAAUGUUUAUGGAGCCUCUGUCAGUAAGGGAGAUGAAUAUAGGUAUUCGGGAUUGAAUGAGAUUGUUUGAACAAUCAGAUCAGCUUAAAGAUUUUGAGAAGGCAAAGGGCCAAAAGAUGAUAGAAAAUGAAGAAAUAUAUUAGCUUAAAUGUGUAAAUCUUGAUAUUUUUAGUUUUGAUAUCUUUGAAACAAUACAGUCUAAUACUAGCUAGUCUCCUACUUAGUUCAAUUGAUGAUGCUAAUUUGAA
Molecule: long non-coding RNA, 1017 nt
Organism: Mercurialis annua (annual mercury)
Lineage: Eukaryota; Viridiplantae; Streptophyta; Magnoliopsida; Malpighiales; Euphorbiaceae
Exons: 5
Source: RefSeq, a predicted model, not a curated record